CGGGAAGUAGCUCAGCUUGGUAGAGCACUUGGUUUGGGACCAAGGGGUCGCAGGUUCCAAUCCUGUCUUCCCGA
RNAcentral lists this transfer RNA (74 nucleotides) under Enterococcus faecium. RNAcentral describes it as "tRNA-Pro". It matches the Rfam family "tRNA". From Rfam's summary of the family: Transfer RNA (tRNA) molecules are approximately 80 nucleotides in length. Their secondary structure includes four short double-helical elements and three loops (D, anti-codon, and T loops). Lineage: Bacteria; Bacillati; Bacillota; Bacilli; Lactobacillales; Enterococcaceae. The record is from RNAcentral.